This 301-nucleotide ribosomal RNA is filed under the name uncultured bacterium. RNAcentral's name for it is "partial 16S ribosomal RNA". It matches the Rfam family "Bacterial small subunit ribosomal RNA", at positions 509 to 807 of the family's 1533-position model. The record is from RNAcentral.
CAGCCGCCACGGUAAUACGAAGGGGGCUAGCGUUGCUCGGAAUCACUGGGCGUAAAGGGUGCGUAGGCGGGUCUUUAAGUCAGGGGUGAAAUCCCGGAGCUCAACUCCAGAACUGCCUUUGAUACUGAAGAUCUUGAGUUCGGGAGAGGUGAGUGGAACUGCGAGUGUAGAGGUGAAAUUCGUAGAUAUUCGCAAGAACACCAGUGGCGAAGGCGGCUCACUGGCCCGAUACUGACGCUGAGGCAUGAAAGCGUGGGGAGCAAACAGGAUUAGAUACCCGCGUAGUCCCUGUCUCUUAUAC